This 309-nucleotide ribosomal RNA is filed under the name uncultured Tenacibaculum sp. RNAcentral's name for it is "bacterial SSU rRNA". It matches the Rfam family "Bacterial small subunit ribosomal RNA", at positions 28 to 334 of the family's 1533-position model. Lineage: Bacteria; Pseudomonadati; Bacteroidota; Flavobacteriia; Flavobacteriales; Flavobacteriaceae. The record is from RNAcentral.
GAUGAACGCUAGCGGCAGGCUUAACACAUGCAAGUCGAGGGGUAACAGGGGAGCUUGCUUCCGCUGACGACCGGCGAACGGGUGCGUAACGCGUAUAGAAUCUGCCUUGUACAGGAGGAUAGCCUUUAGAAAUGAAGAUUAAUACUCCAUAAUAUUGAGAAGUGGCAUCGCUUUUUAAUUAAACAUUUAUGGGUACAAGAUGACUAUGCGUCCUAUUAGCUAGAUGGUAAGGUAACGGCUUACCAUGGCAACGAUAGGUAGGGGAUCUGAGAGGAUUAUCCCCCACACUGGUACUGAGACACGGACCAG